Long non-coding RNA from Salvia miltiorrhiza (redroot sage), 606 nucleotides. RefSeq lists it as uncharacterized. The transcript is spliced from 2 exons. The record is from RefSeq and is a predicted model, not a curated record. Lineage: Eukaryota; Viridiplantae; Streptophyta; Magnoliopsida; Lamiales; Lamiaceae.
AGUUUGAUAGGCUAGGUUACGUUAGUUUGUUAAUUAGUCUGGCAUUUACUCGGUGUUUGAUAGCUUAGGCAAAUAAUCAAUUUGGCCCGCAGCAGCCCGAAGGCCCGCAGUAAUUCGGCGGUUUCAUCUCGUUCAAUAAUCCAGCGGAGGGUGCCCGUUAACUUUAAUCUGCUGCUACAGUGCAAGUUUAAAAAAUUCAAAUUUCAUUAUUGCCCUUCCAAAAUCGAUUAAAAAAAAUUGGGAACAGCAAAUCAUCCAAUUUCUUCGUCAUUGUCAUGGAGAAGGGCUCCGAACAUCUGAUCCUGGUGAUUACGACUGUGGCGGGCGCCCUAGACUACGGCGGCGAUCAAGAGCUUGAGAUCGAACAAGAUCGAGAUGACGGCUCUUCAAGAUUACUUCAUCGAGGAUAGAGAAACGGAGAGCAGCAAAACUUUGCAGUCGGCAACAACCACCUCAAGUUGACAGACUUUUGUUAGUUUGUUAUUGCUGCAUUAUUUUCUUUGCUAGUUUUGUUUGUUGUGUUUGUGAUGAACAAGAAUAAUCUUGCUGUGUUUGUGUAUUCACAUUUUGUGGUAUUUUGGAGCUAAUAGAAUGAUGAUUUUGUUU